CCAAAGGGAGCCAGGAAGCCAGAGAGGAGGAAGUGUGGCUGAAGGGCUGGGUAAUGAAGACACCCUGAAAUCACUGGAAAAGGAGCCCUAAGGCAACCCAAGAUCGAGCCCUCCUGCAUGAGGUAGUGGACCAGCUGAGAUCCUUACCACCCAGGCCCGGGGGGUCCGAUGGGACAUGAACCCUGAGGGCAACCAGUUGUCUGCCAAAGAUGAUGGCAGAGGAUGACGUAGAGGCAUAUCUCCUCUCAUUUGAAAGGACUGCUCAGUAUGAGGGGCGUGGCCCCAGGAGCAGUGGGCCAGCAUUCUUGCCCCUUUUUUGUGCAGAGAGGACCACGGGCUAUGUGGAGGGUCACAGUGUGCCUCUGAGGCUAGCAUAAACCACCUGGAAGCACGGGAUCCACGGGGACAAGGUCGGAGCUCUGCCACAGUACCCUACUGUACACCUGGAGUAAUGCUUUUGACUUCAAUGGAGUUACUCCAUGUCUGAAGUGGUGUAAUUUGA
This is a long non-coding RNA of Mauremys reevesii (Reeves's turtle), 502 nucleotides long. RefSeq lists it as uncharacterized. The record is from RefSeq and is a predicted model, not a curated record. The transcript has 2 exons. NCBI's taxonomy places the organism in Eukaryota, Metazoa, Chordata, Testudines, Geoemydidae.